This 1389-nucleotide long non-coding RNA is filed under the name Monodelphis domestica (gray short-tailed opossum). Its description in RNAcentral is "lncRNA (ENSMODG00000045628.1)". The record is from RNAcentral. Lineage: Eukaryota; Metazoa; Chordata; Mammalia; Didelphimorphia; Didelphidae.
GUUAGCUUUUUGCCUCCUUGGAAGAACCCAAAGACCAGACCAGCCUUGGCUGCCUGUGAUGUUUGGAGAAAUAGUUACUGGAAUUAAAUUUCCAUGUUGUUCCUGGACUCCCUGCUGAAUCUCGGAGAACUAUUUCCCAAGGAAGAAGGAUUGAGUCUGAGUCUUCUGUUCAUCUAGGAUGGGGGGGAGGGGGCAUUGGGACUCAGCGAUACUUAGAGGCUGCUACUGGUGUUGAGAAAUUCUAUUGGCCUAUCCUUCCCUUGGGCAACACCACUCUCGAGUCAAAGGAAUUGUGUUCAGAUCCUGGCACUGUCACUUACUACUGGUGUGAUCCUGGACAAAUCACUUAAUUUCUUUUAGCCUUUGUUUCCUUAUCUGUAAAAUGGAACAGAUAAAUUCUAUAGUCUCUUCUAGUUCUAAAUAUAUGAUCUUAUUAAUCCUCUCCUUUAUCCUCAGUCAUUGAAUAUCAAGAGUUGAAAACAAGUUCAAUAGCCAACUAGUCUUAAUUCAUCCUUGUGUGGGAUAAAAAUCGAUUACAAGUGCCCCACUCACUCAAAUAAACAGAAUCAGAAGGUGUUUAUUCCCCUUCAUGAAAGAAAGCACUCCAACAAUGGGCUAAAAAGUGCCAACUGACUAGGUAGCAAACAGGCAAUAUAUAUCCGAGGUUCCUCCCCUCUCCCUUGUCAGGUCCUCAAACCAGGCUUUGACCUGCAAAUCAAAACACCUGUGCUUCCAACCAAACUCAGGUGAGGCAAGGGAAGCAACCAAGAGGUUCAAGCCCCCUUCUGUCCAUCAUCAGUCUCUCUUACAAACCUGUCACAGAGUCCUGAACCAACAAAAAGGGAACAAACUAGCUUCUAUAAGCUAAAUGCUCACUCUGAGAAUAACACACUCAAUUCUAUCCCACACAAUACAGAAAAAACAGAUUCUGCUACAAUAUACCCAGCAAGUGGUCAACCAGCCUUUGAAGACAUUUGCUGUUGUUCGGCUGUGUUCGAUUCUUCUUGACCCCAUUGUUUUCGUGGCAAAGAUACUGGAGUUUUCCUUCUUGGGCUUAUUUUACAGCUCACUGAUCAACCAAGAUGGCGGCAGGGAUUACAUUGGCCAUUGAGAACUUCUGCAGGAUACUUUCACAUUGACUGAAGCCUUGAAUCCCUCUCAAAACCAGGACGGAAGCCAAACUCUUUUCUUUCACUGUUGGGCAAAGGAUCUGGCUGUCAUUCCUCUGUCCCCUGCUGAGAAUUCUGCCUAUAGAAAGACAUUCAGCAUUCUUGCAAAAAGCUUUUGGCUGUCUGCAUUCGUGGCCCAUCUGUUUGGAUGGCAUGAGGCUUGCUCCUCUAGGGCACAGGAGUCUGGCAGUGAGGCCUCUGAUUUGGCACUGCAUCACUU